UAAUUGAAGAGUUUGAUCAUGGCUCAGAUUGAACGCUGGCGGCAGGCCUAACACAUGCAAGUCGAGCGGUAACAUUUCUAGCUUGCUAGAAGAUGACGAGCGGCGGACGGGUGAGUAAUGCCUGGGAAAUUGCCUUGAUGUGGGGGAUAACCAUUGGAAACGAUGGCUAAUACCGCAUAACGCCUU
Molecule: non-coding RNA, 186 nt
Filed under: Vibrio palustris
Lineage: Bacteria; Pseudomonadati; Pseudomonadota; Gammaproteobacteria; Vibrionales; Vibrionaceae
Description: Bacterial small subunit ribosomal RNA
Rfam family: Bacterial small subunit ribosomal RNA
Source: Rfam by way of RNAcentral